AUGGGGCUCUGGGACUCGCUCCUCAACUGGCUCCGAAGCCUGUUCUUUAAGCAGGAGAUGGAGCUCUCCCUGGUUGGCCUACAGAAUGCUGGGAAGACAUCUCUAGUCAAUUCAAUUGCUACCGGUGGCUACAGCGAGGACAUGAUUCCAACUGUAGGCUUUAAUAUGCGGAAAGUCACCAAGGGAAAUGUCACAAUUAAACUUUGGGAUCUUGGAGGGCAACGUAGAUUCCGGACUAUGUGGGAGCGCUACUGUCGUGGAGUUACUGCUAUUUUAUACGUUGUCGAUGCUGCUGACCGGGAUAGCGUUCCGAUUGCCAAAAGUGAAUUGCAUGACCUGCUGACAAAACAGUCUUUAUCUGGGAUCCCCUUACUUAUCCUUGGCAACAAAAUUGACAAGUCAGAGGCACUUUCUAAGCCGGCAUUAGUUGAUCAACUAGGCCUGGAAUCUAUAAAGGACCGCGAAGUUUGCUGCUACAUGAUCUCUUGCAAGGACUCGGUGAACAUAGAUGUUGUCAUUGAUUGGCUCAUCAAGCAUUCCAAGACUGCAAAUUAG
This 555-nucleotide ribosomal RNA is filed under the name Triticum aestivum (bread wheat). RNAcentral's name for it is "partial small subunit ribosomal RNA". Lineage: Eukaryota; Viridiplantae; Streptophyta; Magnoliopsida; Poales; Poaceae. The record is from RNAcentral.